UGAGAAUAACUCCAGCAGAGAGAAGCAGAGAAUACGUGCUGCUGUCGUUUCAAGAGCAUCGCACCUGUGAGUGCAGGCGCAGACGGCAUCACCUGAGAAAUCAGCACAAAAGGAGGCGGAACGGUAAAGGCAGGAGGAGAAGAAGAGGCCGGAAACGACGCAAUAGAGCCACUCACUGUGUCCGAUGUGAUGAUCAAUAAGGCAAAAGAAAGUGCCAUUCAUUCUCCUUUAUCAUCCAUCACUCAAGCACUUCUGGACAUUAUAUGCAUCACCCUCACCUGAUCAGGCUGUACACUUGUUGGGACUGAACCUGUGUGGAUGGGCCGUCUGCAGCUGUGGCAUUCAUUUAAUGUGUCAGGGUUUAUAUUGAAAUGACUGUGAUGGAACGUCUCCAUGGAGAUCUGAUGUUUAGGGCAGAAGGAGAACAACACACAGUGAAACACAUCACUCCUGUGAGGUGGAUCAAUCACAUAUUACACGUUAUAAAUGGGUCUGUUUGGAUUAUCAGUGACAAAUGUAACAAUAAACUGAAGCAAUGAGGCUUCUUGCAGUUUUCGGAAUGUAGAAAAGUGAGCAGAUCUCAAAUAUCUGGUGUGCUGCUCAUGAGUUAUACACUAUGUUACAUAAAUUAAACAGUCUAGCUUAUUACAGUUGGUUACUUUUGAAUGAAAUUGUAAAGCAAAACAAAACACUUGUACAACUGGGCCAUUUCUGUUCGGCAGUACCUUUUAAAUCCUGUAACUGUGAAUCUGCUUGUGUUGUAAUUAUCAGAAUUAUUUAUAUUUUCUAUAGAGCGAACCUGAAGAUUUGAGCACAGAUUUCUCAGUUAAUAUAUUGACUGAACACAAUUAAUUUGUGCGGUAAAUAUUGUUUAUUUUAAUGGGAAACUUUCAGCAGUGAUUUCCACACCUUGUGUUUUGAGGCAAUUACUUUCAUUUCUUUUGUUCAGCAAAAAUGUUAUUCUUGCAUUACACAACUUCUCAAAACAUUAAUUUUACAGCGUAAAGCAGACUUUAUUAAAUAUGUUCUGGUCAAGCUCAGGCACUUUAAAAGACUAACAGGAUGGAAAGUGAUA
Molecule: long non-coding RNA, 1075 nt
Organism: Myxocyprinus asiaticus (Chinese sucker)
Lineage: Eukaryota; Metazoa; Chordata; Actinopteri; Cypriniformes; Catostomidae
Exons: 4
Source: RefSeq, a predicted model, not a curated record